Molecule: ribosomal RNA, 521 nt
Filed under: uncultured bacterium
Lineage: Bacteria
Description: bacterial SSU rRNA
Rfam family: Bacterial small subunit ribosomal RNA
Source: RNAcentral
CCAGAGAACUUAGCAGAGAUGCUUUGGUGCCUUCGGGAACUCUGAGACAGGUGCUGCAUGGCUGUCGUCAGCUCGUGUUGUGAAAUGUUGGGUUAAGUCCCGCAACGAGCGCAACCCUUAUCCUUUGUUGCCAGCGGUUAGGCCGGGAACUCAAAGGAGACUGCCAGUGAUAAACUGGAGGAAGGUGGGGAUGACGUCAAGUCAUCAUGGCCCUUACGAGUAGGGCUACACACGUGCUACAAUGGCGCAUACAAAGGGAAGCGACCUCGCGAGAGCAAGCGGACCUCAUAAAGUGCGUCGUAGUCCGGAUUGGAGUCUGCAACUCGACUCCAUGAAGUCGGAAUCGCUAGUAAUCGUGGAUCAGAAUGCCACGGUGAAUACGUUCCCGGGCCUUGUACACACCGCCCGUCACACCAUGGGAGUGGGUUGCAAAAGAAGUAGGUAGCUUAACCUUCGGGAGGGCGCUUACCACUUUGUGAUUCAUGACUGGGGUGAAGUCGUAACAAGGUAAGCGUAGUGCU